GGGAAGAGCUCAAAUUUGAAAUCUGGUAGCCUUCGGUUGCCCGAGUUGUAAUCUAGAGAAGUGUUUUCCGUGCCGGCCCAUGUACAAGUCCCUUGGAACAGGGCGUCAUAGAGGGUGAGAAUCCCGUCCUUGACAUGGACCCCCGGUGCUUUGUGAUACACUUUCAACGAGUCGAGUUGUUUGGGAAUGCAGCUCAAAAUGGGUGGUGAAUUCCAUCUAAAGCUAAAUAUUGGCGAGAGACCGAUAGCGAACAAGUACCGUGAGGGAAAGAUGAAAAGCACUUUGGAAAGAGAGUUAAACAGUACGUGAAAUUGUUGAAAGGGAAACGAUUGAAGUCAGUCAUGCUCUUGGGACUUACCUCCCUUGAGUGGGGUCAACAUCAGUUUUGAUCGAUGGAUAAAGGCACGGGGAAGGUAGCACUCUCGGGUGAACUUAUAGCCUCGCGUCAUAUACAUUGAUUGGGACUGAGGAACGCAGCAUGCCUUAUGGCCGGGAUUCGUCCACGUACAUGCUUAGGAUGUUGACAUAAUGGCUUUAAACGACCCGUCUU
RNAcentral lists this ribosomal RNA (550 nucleotides) under Naganishia albida. RNAcentral's name for it is "eukaryotic LSU rRNA". It matches the Rfam family "Eukaryotic large subunit ribosomal RNA", at positions 100 to 655 of the family's 3401-position model. The record is from RNAcentral. Lineage: Eukaryota; Fungi; Basidiomycota; Tremellomycetes; Filobasidiales; Filobasidiaceae.